Daphnia pulex (common water flea) is the source of this 2005-nucleotide long non-coding RNA. RefSeq lists it as uncharacterized. The transcript has 8 exons. NCBI's taxonomy places the organism in Eukaryota, Metazoa, Arthropoda, Branchiopoda, Diplostraca, Daphniidae. The record is from RefSeq and is a predicted model, not a curated record.
GCUGUACCGUGGUGUAGGCGAGUCUAUGCUUAUAACACAUUUCAUGUGAAAUCUUGAAUGAAUCCAAUAAGAAGUAAUCAUUCGAAUGGCUAUAAUAGAAGUUCUCUAUUGUUUUUCCAUGAAGUCUGAGUUGGCAAAGUUCUAAUGCACAAUUGCACGUGGUUUGAUCCUCCUUAUCAACGAAGCUGUUUGUGUGAUUGCUGUUUUAAUUUUUGGAGGUAUUAUCAUCAUCUCUCUGAGCCGACAAUCCAACGUCAGUCAACUCUUUCUCGACUUUCCCUUUUUACUGUGUCCUCGUGUACAUUCAUGCGAAGGUGAGUGUAUUCACGAGGACUUUCUUUCCUUCCGCUUUUCCUACCUGACAUUGGGACUUUUCCAGCUACGACGUUCGACUUCCUCAUCCAUUUAAGAUGGAAUAUUUCUCACGUUACCAGUGCUCCUUCGUCAAACUAUUUCUACAACUUCAAGUUCAAACUACUUCGUCGCCAUCAAAUGAAAAUAUCGAGAAAAGGCUAUUGUCAAUUACAUUUUGAGCUCUGGACGAUGGUUCUAAACGAUUUCAAGAAAAAGUGUUGCGAAACGAACCACCUCCUCCCAGUCUUGUCCAGCCAGAAAACGUCCGAUUGCUGGAAGUGACUCGAGUCGCCUGUACCGCAAUUUCAAGGACUUUGACGCAUAGCCAAGCAGAACGGAAUUGUCAAAAGCCCCAUGUGUCGUGUCUCAUGACUCAUCUUUUCCCACGCCCCUUUUUACGUCGUCUGCCGAAGAAGUUUUCCAUCAAGAAUGUAACUUAACAACUGCUUAACAAAGAAUUUAGAAGAAUGGAACAAAAGUCUUCCAUCAACAAAAACAGAUAUGGAAAGCUUCCAGCUGCAUCAUUCUUCUCUCCUGUCCUUGCGUACGUUUAAGCGAGUGCAAAGGUAUCCAUAUGGUAUGGAGACGUCGUAUAUAUUCUACCUCCAGAAGUCACCACUACUGUAAUCAUUCAUUUGGCCAUCAAGUCAAGGGCUCUGGGUUCGCAUUUUUAGGUCCCUGUUUUUGACGUUUGGUGAAAUCUCUUUGGAUCGCACUGGCCUUCGUCCCAUCUAUGAAUUACCAUUUAGGUCAACCAAUCAAGUAAAUAUCGCCAUUGGUCUGCAGAAGCAAUGUCAUUUUUUGCUGCCUUUAAAAGUGGUUCCACUGGUUUUAGCCACUGACUGACCGUUCGGUGUAUUCCUUUUUAAAAUUUUUUAAACGUUUGAAUUUGAAUGUAAUCUUGCAUUCAAGCAACGAACAGUUGAAUUGCGGGAAGGCAAAAAAGUUAAAACCUCGUUUGCCAGUGUAAUAAUUCGUUUAAUAAUAACAACCAGUGAACAGAUUAAAAGUGAGGAUCGUGUAUUCACUGAAGCUUGGGAUUUUGAGCUGUGGUCGUUCGGCUCUUUGUUGGUUCCCCUUUUUUAGCGUGAACUUGCGUGAACAAGCGUCCUGGGAAAAAUUUCGAACCACACCAGUAUACGAUAGAGAGGGGAUUGUUUUAUCCUCCAGUCUUUUUGGUUACAUUACUAAGCAAGGUGUUUAGAACAGAUUCAACCAGAGUUCAACAGUCACGAGAACUGCAGGAUAACCUUAUUCACUUCGGCUGACCUACUGCAGACAUAUCUCUCCCAUUAAUGUUAGAGUGGGGUGGGGGCUUCCUUGAAGGCUGGCCAGUUGACUGGUGGAUGUAUCCCCGUAUCGACAUGUCCGCAUUUCUUUUAAAACAGCAUCUAAAUGACCGAACAAUAAUUUUGAGACCAAAUUCAGCUGUUAGAUUUUAGUCGAAACACAGGCUAACGAUCAAUGCCUUCCUUUGCCGAACACGACAAAAGUGUCUGUGAGGCAGUUGUUCACCGUCUCAUUUGGUAGUGGUUACAUUCAAAUCAUCGAUCUGCUAAACUGUAGGAUAUCAGCGAGCUUAUUGCAAAAAGGUUUUGAUACUCGUCUCUUCACUUUUCCAUCAGAAUCUGGGCACCAACUCGUAUUGUUA